ACGGGAGGCAGCAGUGGGGGAAUAUUGCACAAUGGGCGCAAGCCUGAUGCAGCCAUGCCGCGUGUAUGAAGAAGGCCUUCGGGUGUAAAGUACUUUCAGCAGUUGAGGAAGGUGGGUAGUGUUAAUAGCACUAUCAUUUGACGUUAGCUGCAGAAGAACGCACCGGCUAACUCCGUGCCAGCAGCCGCGGUAAUACGGAGGGUGCGAGCGUUAAUCGGAAUUACUGGGCGUAAAGCGCAUGCAGGUGGUUUGUUAAGUCAGAUGUGAAAGCCCGGGGCUCAAACCUCGGAAUUGCAUUUGAAACUGGCAGACUAGAGUACUGUAGAGGGGGUAGAAUUUCAGGUGUAGCGGUGAAAUGCGUAGAGAUCUGAAGGAAUACCGGUGGCGAAGGCGGCCCCCUGGACAGAUACUGACACUCAGACUGCGAAAGCGUGGGGAGCAAACAGGAUUAGAUACCCUGGUAG
This 464-nucleotide ribosomal RNA is filed under the name uncultured bacterium. Its description in RNAcentral is "bacterial SSU rRNA". It matches the Rfam family "Bacterial small subunit ribosomal RNA", at positions 341 to 793 of the family's 1533-position model. The record is from RNAcentral.